Molecule: transfer RNA, 89 nt
Filed under: Pseudomonas sp. THAF42
Lineage: Bacteria; Pseudomonadati; Pseudomonadota; Gammaproteobacteria; Pseudomonadales; Pseudomonadaceae
Also listed under: 1 other name
Description: tRNA-Gly
Source: RNAcentral
CACCGGAUAGGCGGCGGUCUGGCGCUCGGCGAUGCCGACGCUGCCGGCGGCGAUGCGCUGGCGGGGCGUGCUCAGGCGCGGUGCGGCGA